ACUCAAAGGAAUUGACGGGGGCCCGCACAAGCGGUGGAGCAUGUGGUUUAAUUCGAUGCAACGCGAAAAACCUUACCUGCCCUUGACAUCCUCGGAACCUCCCAGAGACGGGAGGGUGCCUUCGGGAGCCGGGAGACAGGUGCUGCAUGGCUGUCGUCAGCUCGUGUCGUGAGAUGUUGGGUUAAGUCCCGUAACGAGCGCAACCCUUGUCCCUAGUUGCCAGCGGUUCGGCCGGGAACUCUAGGGAGACUGCCGGUGACAAACCGGAGGAAGGUGGGGAUGACGUCAAGUCAUCAUGGCCCUCAUGGGCAGGGCUACACACGUGCUACAAUGGCCGGCACAGAGGGUUGCCAACCCGCGAGGGGGAGCCAAUCCCACAAAACCGGUCGUAGUCCGGAUCGGAGUCUGCAACUCGACUCCGUGAAGUCGGAAUCGCUAGUAAUCGCGGAUCAGCACGCCGCGGUGAAUACGUUCCCGGGCCUUGUACACACCGCCCGU
This 498-nucleotide ribosomal RNA is filed under the name uncultured bacterium. Its description in RNAcentral is "partial 16S ribosomal RNA". It matches the Rfam family "Bacterial small subunit ribosomal RNA", at positions 899 to 1397 of the family's 1533-position model. The record is from RNAcentral.